UUGCAAGAACGCGUACUUAUUCGCCACCAUGAUUAUGACCAGUGUUUCCAGUCCGUUCAGUUGUUGCAGUGGAAUAGUCAGGUUAAAUUUAAUGUGACCGCUUAUCGCAAUCUGCCGACCACUCGCGAUUCAAUCAUGACUUCGUGCUAAAAGAUUGAGUGUGAGGUUAUAACGCCGAAGCGGUAAAAAUUUUAAUUUUUGCCGCUGAGGGGUUGACCAAGCGAAGCGCGGUAGGUUUUCUGCUUAGGAGUUUAAUCAUGUUUCAGACUUUUAUUUCUCGCCAUAAUUCAAACUUUUUUUCUGAUAAGCUGGUUCUCACUUCUGUUACUCCAGCUUCUUCGGCACCUGUUUUACAGACACCUAAAGCUACAUC
RNAcentral lists this ribosomal RNA (373 nucleotides) under uncultured prokaryote. RNAcentral describes it as "partial 16S ribosomal RNA". The record is from RNAcentral.